Molecule: ribosomal RNA, 969 nt
Filed under: Chlamydomonas sp. F126B2
Lineage: Eukaryota; Viridiplantae; Chlorophyta; Chlorophyceae; Chlamydomonadales; Chlamydomonadaceae
Description: LSU rRNA
Rfam family: Eukaryotic large subunit ribosomal RNA
Source: RNAcentral
GGGWAGHGMWUGGAAGGUGCGGGUGCGCUCAGGCUUAUGCGUCUCUAACGAGCCGCUGUAUGUGCUGAGUGCUGGUCAGCAUGGGUUGAUCCGGCGGGAUAACAACGGAGGUUGAUAAUCCGUCAAUGCCGCCGGGUCGACCAAGGUGUGAAUGGCGCUCGGUCCUCUGGAACUGCGUCAUCAAGAUGCUGGCGGAAGCUUUCCAACCGGCCCGUCUUGAAACACGGACCAAGGAGUCUAACAUGUAUGCGAGUUGGUGGGUGGAAAACCCAUGAAGCGCAAGUAACCUGACUGGUGGGACGGCGCARGCCUGCACCAUCGACCGACCAUGAUCUUCUGUGAAAGGUUUGAGUGCGAGCAUACCUGUUGGGACCCGAAAGAUGGUGAACUAUGCCUGAGCAGGGUGAAGCCAGAGGAAACUCUGGUGGAGGCUCGUAGAUGUGCUGACGUGCAAAUCGCUUUUCGGACUUGGGUAUAGGGGCGAAAGACUAAUCGAACCAUCUAGUAGCUGGUUCCCUCCGAAGUUUCCCCCAGGAUAGCUGGAGCUUGAUUCAGUUGUAUCAGGUAAAGCGAAUGAUUAGAGGUUCGGGGGAUGUAACAUCCUUCACCUAUUCUCAAACUUUAAAUAGGUACGACGCGUAGCUUGCUUAAUUGAAGCUGCGCAGUCAAUGUGAGCUCCAAGUGGGCCAUUUUUGGUAAGCAGAACUGGCGAUGCGGGAUGAACCGAUAGUCGAGUUAAGGCSCCUAACUGCGCGCUAACCUAGAUCCCACAAAGGGUGUUGAUUGAUAUAGACAGCAGGACGGUGGUCAUGGAAGUCGAAAUCCGCUAAGGAGUGUGUAACAACUCACCUGCCGAAUCAAUUAGCCCCGAAAAUGGAUGGCGCUUAAGCGCGCGGCCUAUACUCGGCCAUGGAGAUAAGUGCGAGAUCUCCAUGAGUAGGAGGGCGUGGGUGUCGUUGCGCAKNYWRA